CCAGGGCUACACAGAGAAAUCUUGUCUCAAACACACAUACACACACACACACACACACACACACACACACACACACACACACACACACACACAGAGAGAGAGAGAGAGAGAGAGAGAGAGAGAGAGAGAGAGAGAGAGAGAGCGAGAGCACGGUUUGGAUUUUAACCUAUAUAUUUGCCUAAAUGUUUUGCUGCUGUGCUUAGGAUAUCAAGAUCUAAAGCUCAGCAUGUUAGGAUGGGUAGGGUGGGGGUUGAGGAAUACCCUGAGAGCACCAGUUCAGCGGGUCAGGAAGCCCUGGGGAGUAUAGCUCUGUGGGGGACCAGAGACCCAGGUCCACAUAGCCAAGCACGUGUCCUUUGGUUCUCCCACUGUGGUGGACAGCCCUGCCAGGCCAGCUUCCUUCAGAGCCCAUGACACAUUGUUGUCCAUUCCAGGGCAUAACUGGAGGCACAAAGGUGUAAGUCUGGGCCAGCCUGGGGUAGAUGGAAGUGAACUGCCUGGAAACAGCUGACUAGGGCUCCUGGGGAGUGCUGAAGAGCUAGGAUCUGAUAUUUUGGCCUCAGCUGAUAGUGAUGGGGAAGGUUCUAGAAGGGACUGAGCCCAGAUCACAGGUGGCUUCUGUGAAGCAACCUCACUGGGAGGAUCGUGCACCUUCACUUACUCACACACACACCCCCCCACCCUUGUCCCCUGCAAGCCCGCAUCCCGAUCUGGGCUCUGGGACAGAUCCUGGCUCCAGGGAUCAUAAGCUACAGAGCCUCUGGAAAUUUACUUACCUUU
This 780-nucleotide long non-coding RNA is filed under the name Rattus norvegicus (Norway rat). Its description in RNAcentral is "long non-coding RNA NONRATT027972". The record is from RNAcentral. Lineage: Eukaryota; Metazoa; Chordata; Mammalia; Rodentia; Muridae.